This 539-nucleotide ribosomal RNA is filed under the name Fusarium solani. RNAcentral describes it as "eukaryotic LSU rRNA". The stretch from base 167 to 320 matches the Rfam family "5.8S ribosomal RNA". Lineage: Eukaryota; Fungi; Ascomycota; Sordariomycetes; Hypocreales; Nectriaceae. The record is from RNAcentral.
UGGGAGGGAUCAUUACCGAGUUAUACAACUCAUCAACCCUGUGAACAUACCUAUAACGUUGCCUCGGCGGGAACAGACGGCCCCGUAACACGGGCCGCCCCCGCCAGAGGACCCCCUAACUCUGUUUCUAUAAUGUUUCUUCUGAGUAAACAAGCAAAUAAAUUAAAACUUUCAACAACGGAUCUCUUGGCUCUGGCAUCGAUGAAGAACGCAGCGAAAUGCGAUAAGUAAUGUGAAUUGCAGAAUUCAGUGAAUCAUCGAAUCUUUGAACGCACAUUGCGCCCGCCAGUAUUCUGGCGGGCAUGCCUGUUCGAGCGUCAUUACAACCCUCAGGCCCCCGGGCCUGGCGUUGGGGAUCGGCGGAAGCCCCCUGCGGGCACAACGCCGUCCCCCAAAUACAGUGGCGGUCCCGCCGCAGCUUCCAUUGCGUAGUAGCUAACACCUCGCAACUGGAGAGCGGCGCGGCCACGCCGUAAAACACCCAACUUCUGAAUGUUGACCUCGAAUCAGGUAGGAAUACCCGCUGAACUUAAGCAUAC